Molecule: transfer RNA, 71 nt
Filed under: Loxodonta africana (African savanna elephant)
Lineage: Eukaryota; Metazoa; Chordata; Mammalia; Proboscidea; Elephantidae
Rfam family: tRNA
About the family: Transfer RNA (tRNA) molecules are approximately 80 nucleotides in length. Their secondary structure includes four short double-helical elements and three loops (D, anti-codon, and T loops).
Source: Rfam by way of RNAcentral
AUAUUUGUGGUUUAGUGGUAGAAAUCUUGUCUCCUAUACAGGAGACCCAGGUUUGAUUCUUGGCCAGUGCA